CCUACGGGAGGCAGCAGUAGGGAAUCUUCCGCAAUGGACGAAAGUCUGACGGAGCAACGCCGCGUGAGUGAUGAAGGCUUUCGGGUCGUAAAACUCUGUUGUUAGGGAAAGAACAAGUGCUAGUUGAAUAAGCUGGCACCUUGACGGUACCUAACCAGAAAGCCACGGCUAACUACGUGCCAGCAGCCGCGGUAAUACGUAGGUGGCAAGCGUUAUCCGGAAUUAUUGGGCGUAAAGCGCGCGCAGGUGGUUUCUUAAGUCUGAUGUGAAAGCCCACGGCUCAACCCGUGGAGGGUCAUUGGAAACUGGGAGACUUGAGUGCAGAAGAGGAAAGUGGAAUUCCAUGUGUAGCGGUGAAAUGCGUAGAGAUAUGGAGGAACACCAGUGGCGAAGGCGACUUUCUGGUCUGUAACUGACACUGAGGCGCGAAAGCGUGGGGAGCAAACAGGAUUAGAUACCCUGGUAGUCCACGCCGUAAACGAUGAGUGCUAAGUGUUAGAGGGUUUCCGCCCUUUAGUGCUGAAGUUAACGCAUUAAGCACUCCGCCUGGGGAGUACGGCCGCAAGGCUGAAACUCAAAGGAAUUGACGGGGGCCCGCCACAAAGGCGGGUGGAGCAUGGUGGUUUAAUUCGAAGCAACGCGAAGAACCUUAC
This 653-nucleotide ribosomal RNA is filed under the name bacterium HN8-A-02. RNAcentral's name for it is "bacterial SSU rRNA". It matches the Rfam family "Bacterial small subunit ribosomal RNA", at positions 338 to 974 of the family's 1533-position model. The record is from RNAcentral.